AACGAACGCUGGCGGCGCGCCUAAUACAUGCAAGUCGAGCGAGAAGACGUAGCAAUACGUUUGUAAAGCGGCGAACGGGUGAGGAAUACAUGGGUAACCUACCCUCGAGUGGGGAAUAACGUAGCCGAAAGGUUAGCUAAUACCGCGUACGCUCCUUGGACUUCGGUUCGAGGGAGGAAAGCGAUACCGUGGGUAUCGCGCUCUUGGAUGGGCUCAUGUCCUAUCAGCUUGUUGGGAGGUAACGGCUCACCAAGGCUUCGACGGGGUAGCUGGUCUGAGAGGACGAUCAGCCACACUGGCACUGCGACACGGGCCA
This 316-nucleotide ribosomal RNA is filed under the name uncultured bacterium. RNAcentral's name for it is "bacterial SSU rRNA". It matches the Rfam family "Bacterial small subunit ribosomal RNA", at positions 29 to 333 of the family's 1533-position model. The record is from RNAcentral.